RNAcentral lists this ribosomal RNA (572 nucleotides) under uncultured bacterium. RNAcentral's name for it is "partial 16S ribosomal RNA". It matches the Rfam family "Bacterial small subunit ribosomal RNA", at positions 355 to 919 of the family's 1533-position model. The record is from RNAcentral.
UGGGGAAUUUUGGACAAUGGGCGCAAGCCUGAUCCAGCAAUGCCGCGUGCAGGAUGAAGGCCUUCGGGUUGUAAACUGCUUUUGUACGGAACGAAAAGGCUCUGGCUAAUACCUGGGGCACAUGACGGUACCGUAAGAAUAAGCACCGGCUAACUACGUGCCAGCAGCCGCGGUAAUACGUAGGGUGCGAGCGUUAAUCGGAAUUACUGGGCGUAAAGCGUGCGCAGGCGGUUUUGUAAGACAGAGGUGAAAUCCCCGGGCUCAACCUGGGAACUGCCUUUGUGACUGCAAGGCUGGAGUGCGGCAGAGGGGGAUGGAAUUCCGCGUGUAGCAGUGAAAUGCGUAGAUAUGCGGAGGAACACCGAUGGCGAAGGCAAUCCCCUGGGCCUGCACUGACGCUCAUGCACGAAAGCGUGGGGAGCAAACAGGAUUAGAUACCCUGGUAGUCCACGCCCUAAACGAUGUCAACUGGUUGUUGGGUCUUAAUUGACUCAGUAACGAAGCUAACGCGUGAAGUUGGACCGCCUGGGGAGUACGGCCGCAAGGUUGAAACUUAAAUGAAUUGACGGGGU